This 84-nucleotide transfer RNA is filed under the name Schizophyllum commune H4-8. Its description in RNAcentral is "tRNA-Ala". It matches the Rfam family "tRNA". From Rfam's summary of the family: Transfer RNA (tRNA) molecules are approximately 80 nucleotides in length. Lineage: Eukaryota; Fungi; Basidiomycota; Agaricomycetes; Agaricales; Schizophyllaceae. The record is from Rfam by way of RNAcentral.
GGGCUUGUGGUACAGUGGUAGCACGUUCGCUUAGCAUCUCCAAUAGCAUGCGAAAGGUCCUGGGUUCAAUUCCCAGCAAGUCCA